RNAcentral lists this transfer-messenger RNA (393 nucleotides) under Anaerolineae bacterium. It matches the Rfam family "transfer-messenger RNA". From Rfam's summary of the family: Bacterial tmRNA, also known as 10Sa RNA or SsrA, is named for its dual tRNA and mRNA-like properties. Its role is to liberate the mRNA from a stalled ribosome. Lineage: Bacteria; Bacillati; Chloroflexota; Anaerolineae. The record is from RNAcentral.
GGGGAUGACAGGCUUCGACGGGACGAGUCUGCUUCGAGUGGCGAGCCGAGAGGUGUCCCUCGUUAAAAGGCGCAAAGCACUUUACGUGCCAAAGUCAAUUGGAACACCGUUCCGAUGGCUGCCUAAUCGCAGUUAUUAGACGGUCUGGCCUUUGAGGUCAGCGCUGCUCAACCCCUCGCGCUGGUGGGGGUUGGCUCAGCGUCAUAAUGCCAGCGGGUGCUUCGCAAAUUCUCAUAUGCGGGAGAGCACUGGCUGACUGCCGAACCAUGAGAUGGCCCGCCGUUUACUUUGUUGGUAGAGCUGCGGCGGGCGAGAUUCAAAUACCAACUACGCUCGUAGUCAUUCGCGGUUUAUUCGCUUCGGACCCGGGUUCGAUUCCCGGCAUCUCCACUG